This is an RNA transcript of Aethalodelphis obliquidens (Pacific white-sided dolphin), 1921 nucleotides long. It is a transcript of the gene named cleavage and polyadenylation specificity factor subunit 3 pseudogene, with no coding region annotated. Lineage: Eukaryota; Metazoa; Chordata; Mammalia; Artiodactyla; Delphinidae. The transcript has a single exon. The record is from RefSeq and is a predicted model, not a curated record.
GGAGCUGGGCAAGAAGUGGGAAGAUCUUGUAUUAUUCUGGAAUUCAAAGGAAGAAAAAUAAUGUUGGACUGUGGGAUCCACCCAGGCCUAGAAGGAAUGGAUGCUCUUCCUUACAUCGAUUUAAUUGACCCAGCUGAGAUUGAUCUCCUGCUAAUUAGUCAUUUCCAUUUGGAUCACUGUGGAGCUUUGCCCUGGUUUCCACAGAAGACAAGUUUCAAAGGAAGAACAUUUAUGACUCAUGCCACAAAAGCUAUUUAUAGAUGGCUUCUUUCAGAUUAUGUCAAAGUUAGCUUUUGUACACAGGUGAUUUCUCAAGACAAGAAGACAGACACUUAAUGGCAGCUGAAAUUCCUAAUAUUAAACCUGAUAUUCUUAUCAUUGAAUCUACUUACGGAACCCAUAUCCAUGAGAAGCGAGAAGAGCGAGAGGCAAGGUUCUGUAACACUGUUCACGAUAUUGUGAACCGAGGGGGCAGAGGUCUCAUUCCUGUCUUUGCUCUUGGAAGGGCUCAGGAGCUUCUCUUGAUUUUAGAUGAGUACUGGCAGAAUCACCCAGAACUCCAUGAUAUUCCCAUAUACUAUGCAUCGUCUUUGGCCAAGAAGUGUAUGGCGGUGUACCAGACAUAUGUAAACGCCAUGAAUGACAAAAUCCGCAAACAGAUCAACAUCAACAAUCCCUUUGUUUUCAAACAUAUUAGUAACCUUAAGAGCAUGGAUCAUUUUGAUGACAUUGGUCCCAGUGUUGUAAUGGCCUCCCCAGGCAUGAUGCAGAGUGGCUUAUCCAGAGAGCUCUUCGAAAGCUGGUGUACUGAUAAGAGGAAUGGCGUCAUUAUAGCGGGAUACUGUGUAGAAGGGACGCUUGCCAAGCAUAUCAUGUCUGAACCUGAAGAAAUCACUACCAUGUCCGGACAGAAGCUACCACUGAUAAUGUCUGUUGAUUACAUUUCUUUCUCUGCUCACACAGAUUACCAGCAAACCAGUGAAUUUAUUCGUGCUUUGAAACCGCCUCACGUGAUUUUAGUCCAUGGAGAACAAAAUGAAAUGGCCAGAUUGAAAGCAGCCCUGAUUCGAGAAUAUGAAGAUAAUGAUGAAGUUCACAUAGAGGUUCAUAAUCCUCGGCAUACAGAAGCAGUGACCUUGAACUUCAGGGGGGAAAAACUAGCCAAGGUCAUGGGCUUUUUAGCAGACAAAAAACCAGAACAGGGCCAGCAGGUCUCAGGAAUACUUGUUAAAAGAAACUUUAAUUAUCAUAUACUUUCUCCUUGUGACCUCUCUAAUUAUACUGACUUGGCCAUGAGCACGGUAAAGCAGACCCAAGCCAUUCCAUAUACUGGUCCUUUUAAUUUGCUUUAUUACCAGCUACAGAAAUUGACAGGUGAUGUAGAAGAAUUAGAAAUUCAAGAAAAACCUGCUUUGAAAGUGUUCAAAAAUAUUACUGUAAUACAGGAACCAGGAAUGGUGGUAUUAGAAUGGCUGGCAAACCCUUCCAAUGAUAUGUAUGCAGAUACAGUAACAACCGUGAUAUUAGAAGUCCAGUCAAACCCGAAAAUAAGGAAAGGUGCAGUACAGAAGGUUUCUAAAAAAUUAGAAAUGCACAUUUAUAGCAAGAGGUUGGAGAUCAUGCUCCAGGACAUAUUUGGAGAAGACUGUGUUAGUGUAAAAGAUGGUUCUAUCCUUAGCGUCACAGUGGACGGAAAAACUGCUAACAUAAACUUGGAGACACGGACUGUAGAAUGUGAAGAAGGAAGUGAAGAUGAUGAGUCCCUCCGAGAAAUGGUGGAACUGGCAGCCCAGAGACUAUAUGAGGCCCUCACGCCAGUUCACUAAUAACCUUAUGUCUCUGUAGAUGUUAAACUUUUUUGUAAUGCUUGACUCUACUUCUGUUACUUAAAAUAAAAUACAUUAAUUUCUCAAAAAAAAAA